RNAcentral lists this small RNA (78 nucleotides) under Asticcacaulis excentricus CB 48. RNAcentral's name for it is "Makes More Granules Regulator RNA (mmgR)". It matches the Rfam family "Makes More Granules Regulator RNA (mmgR)". From Rfam's summary of the family: SuhB later renamed mmgR (makes more granules regulator) was a putative non-coding RNA found multiple times in the Agrobacterium tumefaciens genome and related alpha-proteobacteria. Other non-coding RNAs uncovered in the same analysis include: speF, ybhL, metA, and serC. Lineage: Bacteria; Pseudomonadati; Pseudomonadota; Alphaproteobacteria; Caulobacterales; Caulobacteraceae. The record is from Rfam by way of RNAcentral.
CGUCGAUGCCCUUCCUGGGCGUUUCCUCCCUGUAGACUUUAAGCCGCGCUCGUGUAGCGCGGCUUUUUUUUGCCUGAA